GGGAAGGUGGCUCAGUGGUACAGUGCUUGCCUUGCAUGCAUGAGGCCCUGGGUUCAAUUCCUCAGCCACCACA
This is a non-coding RNA of Dipodomys ordii (Ord's kangaroo rat), 73 nucleotides long. The record is from Rfam. Lineage: Eukaryota; Metazoa; Chordata; Mammalia; Rodentia; Heteromyidae.